GGCGGCGUAGCUCAGUUGGUUAGAGCGCAGGACUCAUAAGCCUGAGGUCGGAGGUUCGAGCCCUCUCGCCGCUACCA
This 77-nucleotide transfer RNA is filed under the name Candidatus Saccharimonadota bacterium. RNAcentral's name for it is "tRNA-Met". It matches the Rfam family "tRNA". From Rfam's summary of the family: Transfer RNA (tRNA) molecules are approximately 80 nucleotides in length. The record is from RNAcentral. Lineage: Bacteria; Candidatus Saccharimonadota.